AAGCAACAUAAUUAGUUCGCGUCCGAUCCCAACUAUAAUAGAUAGAUCAUUCGCUUCAUCAACAUCAUUGAACUCCUUUCAUCGGCUCACUGCCUCACCACCUUCAGCCUCAACCACCUGUGCAAAUGAUUUCUUAAUGUGUUCAAUGUAUUCUUCCUCCCAGUACCAACCUGUACAUCCGCCGGUACCGUCCCACUGAAAUUAAAAGAGAGAAUCAAAAGUUUAAUUAAUAUCAUUUAAAAAAAUAAGCACAUAUAUAAGCAAAUGUCUAGAAAUAACUCACAUUAUGAUCCGGACACUUUGUUUACUCCCUCUUUCGACACUUUGUACUUCAUCACAAUCUUCUGCCCACACUUGCCACAAGUAAUGAGAGGGAGUUCCGGCC
Molecule: long non-coding RNA, 385 nt
Filed under: Sorghum bicolor (sorghum)
Lineage: Eukaryota; Viridiplantae; Streptophyta; Magnoliopsida; Poales; Poaceae
Description: long non-coding RNA (SBIC_LNC009065)
Source: RNAcentral